UCUGUAUCCAUAUUUGAGAAAGCAAAUGCUCACAUUGCCAUUCUUGAAAGCAUCUUUUCCCGAAGUGGUGACAUUCUCCCUCCUCCAAUACAUAGGCUGCGAGAAGGAGAAUUUGAGGUAAUAGAUGUCUGUGAAAGCUUAUGGAAACAAGGAAGCAGUAUUAAUUGUAUUCUUAGUUGCCUGUUUACAUCCAAGACAAAUAUUAGACAAUGAAAAGACUGCAGAUUUGGGAAUAUUUGAAGCAUGUUCUACCAUGAAGCAUCCAGGAAUAAGUCUUGGACAACCCAAUGACAUUUUUUGGUGGAUGGGUCUUCAGACAGCAGAUUCUGGCCAUUACAAAAAAGCCCCUGGGGGCUACAUGCAGUCUAUGGUCUCAGUUGUGU
This is a long non-coding RNA of Sceloporus undulatus (fence lizard), 383 nucleotides long. RefSeq lists it as uncharacterized. Lineage: Eukaryota; Metazoa; Chordata; Lepidosauria; Squamata; Phrynosomatidae. The record is from RefSeq and is a predicted model, not a curated record. The transcript has 3 exons.